RNAcentral lists this long non-coding RNA (4704 nucleotides) under Theobroma cacao (cacao). RNAcentral's name for it is "long non-coding RNA (TCAC_LNC004517)". The record is from RNAcentral. Lineage: Eukaryota; Viridiplantae; Streptophyta; Magnoliopsida; Malvales; Malvaceae.
ACUGGGAUUUUAUAAUCUCACCACCCUCCUUUCCUCACAUUUCAGGCUCAGGGAAUUCCAUAGUUAGCUGACUUUGAUAAGGACCUUCAUUUGGACUUGAAUCGGCAAAAGCUGUAGGUUUUCAGCUUCCGAUGCAUUUUGGUCAGUUGGGGGCCCAUGUAUCACCGUAAAAGCAAUUUUAUACUUCAGUUAUCUGAUUUAAAGUAUGUAUGAACAUAUUUAGCUUUUACACCAUGUCUUUGGUGGGUUUUGGUAUUUUCGAAAAAAAAUGAUGAAAAUGCCCCUGUGAGCCAGAAAAUAAUAAUUUAUUAUUUUGAUUUGGAAACGACUUAUGAUUUCUUGAAAUACGAGAUUUAAAAACUGUCGCUCACCGGAGAGAUGCGGAAGCUGAUGUUAAGCCUUGCGGGGUUCCGAUCGGCAUUCGGGGUAAUGAGUGCCUAUCGAGACAUCGCGGAGUUGUCAUGGGUCCGAUGAGAGUUUCGAGUUGUGACAAUUAAAGUGGUAUCAGAGCAUGGUUUAAAGAUCAAAGAUUUUGGUUUUAAAGCUUUGGAUUUUAAAGUUUUUGGUUUUAAAGUUGUUUUAAGAAAUCCACACUGACACUGCGUGGCCUUGGAUUAAGUUAAGUUAAGUCGAAUAGAAUGCAUGAGUCUGCAUAUAGAGACCUAUUUAUUUUCAUAGUGUAUACGAGAUUAAGUAAUUAUUGUUAGACAUUCUCCCCUAGGCUGUGGGAGCAAUGUAAGUAAAUGGCAAGAGAAGAAAAAGGGAAAACUUGAAACGGACUCAAAAAAGGAUCAAGAUGAUAAUGAUCCUAAAGAUGUUUAGUGCCUUGUUGAAGCUUGUAAUACUGUAAUCCUAGGCAGAUGUAAUAUAAGAAGGAUUAUAAUCCCUUGUAUAAAAGGCUUAAGAGUUGACUUUUAUCUUGUAUAAUAUAAACGGAUGAUGGAGUAGUUGUUUAAAUGACAGAAGGAGUAUAAAAAUCUUUUAGUAUGACAAAGGUAGAUUAGUAAUUAAGUAUUGAGGAUGAAUAAUUAUCUUAGUGGCAAGAUCGAUUAUUUUAAAUAAGUACUGAAGGUUGAAAUAGGAAGCCAUUAAUCGUUCCAGCAAUUAUUAGAUUUAACAACGAUUAAACCUUGCAGUAAUAUGAAUUGAUCACCAGUUAACGGUGUUAAGUCAAGGAUUAUAAAUUUGAGUAUGGAGGGAAUUAGAAGGUGAUACCGUAAAAUUUUAAGAUGAGAAAUAUAAUUGGUUACGACUAUGAGAACAGUGGGAUACUAUAAAUAAUGAAUCAUUAGGCGUGUGAUGAAGUUGUGAUCUAUUGAACCAUAUGGGAAGACUGUUCUAAGGUGGGACAUAGGACAUCAGGAUUUUUGGAGAUGUUUAUAGAGGAAGAUAUAAAUUGUAAAGUAUGUUUUCCCCCACAAGUUUUAAUUUAUUCGAGAAAUUAUCAUGGUAAAGAUAUAUGAAUAUUGGUAGUGAAAUAUGCCCUAAGGGAUAACUGUGGCAUAUCAUAUAGAUAAUAUAGAUAUGUUGGGGUCAGUGUCCCGAUCAUGCAUCUAUGAUAGAGAAUUUACUUUGCUAAUUGUGGUAUAGACUCAAAAAGGAGUCAAGCCGUUGAGAACGACUACGGUAGUAACUCCAAAAGUAAAAGAGUUGUUUUAAUUAAGUAGAUUUCAAUGGCUACAUUGAAAUAAAUUACCUUGUGGAGUAUUAAGAUCAAUAAUGUAUUGAUCAAAGUCAAAUCUUAAGAAAUAAAAAGGAUGAGAGAUUAAUGAGAAGGGACAUCAAUGUUAAGUAACGAAUUUGUGAAUAAAGGAUUACGAUGCUGGCAUAGAAAAUGAGUACUAUAAAGGAUUACUAUGAGGAUUUAUAAUUCUUGUAUUAACUCAGUUGAAUGAAAAGUGAUUAAAUGAAGCAACUCUUGUGGUAAACAGCGGAAUAGUGGAGUUAACGUAGAGUCUUGUUUAUAGUCAGUGACUGCAGCACCGAUUAUAGACAAGAGGCUGCGUAGACUCUUUAUCUUGGGAAACUACCUAGUGAAAUCCUAAAUGACAUAAGGACUCAUGAUUGAGAGGAUUAUUGCUGAUCAAAUUCUAAAGGGUAAUAAUAGAUAUAAGUGAAGUAUUCAAGUUGAGUUGGAAAUAAAUACGAGAAGCAAAUCAAGAUUCCCCAUAAAGGAGAUAAUAGGUGAAGUUGAGCAUCGAAUAAAAGAUAAUACCCCGCCUUUUCUUUGAGUUUGAUAAGUGAAAUUUUGAGGAUAAAAUUUUAUUUUAAGGGGGGUAGUGUUGUCAAACCCUAUUCUAUAAAAUAAUUACGACGUCAUUUACAUGCUCAAUAGAAUGGUUGCAUAGUUAGGAAGUUUGAGAAAUCGUUAAAAGACGAUAUUGCUCCUAAUGGUACCAUUAAGUCGAUUAAGUCUCGAACUAGUUCAAAUAGGAAUUUUAAUGUGAAAUUAAGAGUUUCACAGUCCAUGAAUGAUUUAAAAUGGUGAUUUGGAGUUCGAGGAUCAAUUUGGAGUCAAACAGAAAUUUUCACUAUCUAUGGGCAAAAUGGUCGUUUGUUACUUGGGGACAAAAUGGAAAUUUUAGAAAUGAUUUUUUUUGGCCCCAUUUGACUCAUUGGAGUAUGAUUUGAGUAAUUGAAGUAUGAUUUGAGGUUAAUACAAGAAAUGUGUCGUAGAUAAUUUAAGAAUUAAAAGUCAAAUAUUUAAUAUUUGAACCAAUAAGGAAAUGUCAUAUGUCAUGCUUUGAUUAUUUUAUUAUUUCUUUAUAAAAAGGAAAAAAAUCAGCCCAUUUCUCCCAUAGUGAUCAACCAAAUAAGAAGAGAAGAGAAACCAAGGAAGAACAAACCCUAGGUGGGAAAAAUCAAAGAGAAAGUGUUGGAAUUCAAGGAUUUGAUCAAGCAAAGGUAAAAUUUCUUUGGUUUUGCUAGUGAUUUACCUUACCCAUGCAUUUCUCCUUAUUUUCCAUGGUUAAAUUACAUGUUUUCAUGAUGAAUUCAUGGCUGAUCAAAAUGGGUAAGGAGAGAGAAAGAUGUUGGAUUGAUUUGAUUUUAAGAUAUGUUAGUGUUUUUAGUUAGUUUAGCAUAUUUAGAAGCAAAACAACAAGAAAGGAAUCCAUUUUCCCCAUGAAUCUUCAUGGCUGAAUCUUCCUUGAUGUGUGUGGGUGAUGGAUUGUUAUUAUUUCAAAAGAAAUGGCUUAGAAAAUGAUGAAUAAUUGUGAGAAAAUUAAGUAGGAAAAAUCACAGUGUUAGUGCACUGUAAUGGCCGAAUUUUUUCAUGAAGAAAUGGGAAGGUUUUGAUGCUGAAAUUGGUGAUAGUUCAUAAUUUUUGGUGAAUUAAGGUAUUAGAAAUGAAAUGGAGCAAUUUGGAGCCAAAUCGGACACAAUUGUCAUUUAAUUGGGUAAUAGGCCGAAUUAGGUCAGCACCGCAUUUAAGCGGUAGUCGAAUAAGUUGCAUAUCAUAUCAUGCAUAUACACUAAGCCUGAAUUGAUUUUAUAAUGGUCAAGCAUUAAUGUGACAAAUUAUGUAUUGUAUAUUGUGGAUAGGUGGUGAGUAAAUUACACUAGUAAAAGUAUCGAGAUUGUGCUUGAAGACUAGGAUUAUGAGUACAUCGACUCCUAGAACUGUAAAUAGACUUAUUAUCGUCUUAAUUAUCUAGAGUAGUUUUAUACAAUUGUGUGAUUUUAUAGAAAAUGGGUUUAAAUGGUAAAUUGCUACGUUUUAGGAGAAAUUGUGAUUUUAUAAAAUGAUUUUAUAAAUUUUUUUGAAAAUUGAAUACUGGUUUUGAAAAUAGAGUAAUUGGAGAUUGCCUGCUUGUGUUAUAAAUUGUGUUUUAAAUUAUAUGGCUUAUAGCAAUACGUAAGCAUGAAUGGCAAAGUCGGUAUUCGUAUCAAAAUUAUAUAUACUAUGUAUUCAGCCUUGAAAGGCUAGAUUAUGAUAAAUUGCCAUGUCAUGCAGAUAAAGAUUUUAUAAAUUAGGUGGUAGAUAAAAUAAUCUAUAGUCACUGCAGUGGUGGGGGUUUCCAUGGACUGCCUAUGAGAGGGGCACGGUAACUCAGUUAUAUAUUUACCUCUGGGGGGAGAUGUUGGAUGAAGUAUCUCCUGAGGUAAAGAUUUGAGUGCACUUCACGUGGACCACCGCGUGAGAGUGAGACUCAGCCAACGCCAAGGAAAUGUUGUGUGUCAGAUGCGAAAACAUGUUUAUGGGUAUGGGACAUUUAACAACCUUGGCGGUCUCAGUGGGAUAUCUAGAUGAAGGUACCCGCGAGAAUGAUUUUGGCAGGAGCCAAGUUUUGUGAGAUAUAUAAGCCAUGUUGAUUAAUUGAGUAAACUGAAUAUUCAUGUUAUGAAACAUAUAUUGGAAAAUAAUAUUUUAAUUCAUCUCCAUUUACUCGCCUUUAGAUAGUUUAGAUGGUGUAUGUUUACUCACUGGGAUUUUAUAAUCUCACCACCCUCCUUUCCUCACAUUUCAGGCUCAGGGAAUUCCAUAGUUAGCUAACUUUGAUAAGGACCUUCAUUUGGACUUGAAUCGGCAAAAGCUGUAGGUUUUCAGCUUCCGAUGCAUUUUGGUCAGUUGGGGGCCCACGUGUCACUGUAAAAGUAAUUUUAUACUUCAGUUAUCUGAUUUAAAGUAUGUAUGAACAUAUUUAACUUUUACACCAUGUUUUUGGCAGGUUUCGAUAUUUUUGAAAAAAAAUGACGAAAAUG